AGGGUAUAUACUUCCUCUACUCUGGACAACACAUCAGUUACUUGGGAGAUCAAGGGCAAAGAUCAAGUUGGGCAGGUUGUUUAACCUCUCUGAGAUUCCGUUGAUCUUAAAGUUUGUUUUAGAAUCAAGACCCCUUAAGUGCAUUUGAGCCCUAUAUUCUGUGAUCAUAAGCCCCCAAAAGUAGGUAGUAUAAGGAUUUCAGAGAAGCAGAGCUGCUGAGUGUGGAUCAGGCAGAAUUAGG
RNAcentral lists this long non-coding RNA (241 nucleotides) under Homo sapiens (human). Its description in RNAcentral is "LHRI_LNC986.1". The record is from RNAcentral. Lineage: Eukaryota; Metazoa; Chordata; Mammalia; Primates; Hominidae.